CAGCCGCGGUAAUUCCAGCUCCAAUAGCGUAUACUUAAGUUGUUGCAGUUAAAAAGCUCGUAGUUGAAAUUCGAGUCAGUUACUAGUUGGCUCUUCGUCAGUUAGUUAAUUGAUUCUCCGUCUACAAUCCCUUUUGCGCUUUAGGGUUGCAGCUGGGCGAGUAGACAAUUUACCUUGAAAAAAUUAGAGUGUUCCAGGCAGGUCUUCGCCGGAAUACAUUAGCAUGGAAUAAUGGAAUAGGACUUGGGUCUUUUGUUGGUUUUAGGAUCUGAGUAAUGAUUAAUAGGGACAGAUGGGGGCAUUAGUAUUUAAUUGUCAGAGGUGAAAUUCUUGGAUUUAUUAAAGACUAACUUAUGCGAAAGCAUUUGCCAAGGAUGUUUUCAUUAAUCAAGAACGAAAGUUAGGGGAUCAAAGACGAUCAGAUACCGUCGUAGUCUUAACUAUAAACUAUACCGACUCGAGAUCGGAAGGGUAAUAUAUUAGUCCCUUUCGGCAUCGUAAGAGAA
This 506-nucleotide ribosomal RNA is filed under the name Paramecium pentaurelia. RNAcentral's name for it is "SSU rRNA". It matches the Rfam family "Eukaryotic small subunit ribosomal RNA", at positions 571 to 1096 of the family's 1831-position model. Lineage: Eukaryota; Ciliophora; Oligohymenophorea; Peniculida; Parameciidae. The record is from RNAcentral. RNAcentral also lists the same sequence under 3 other names.